GUGGGAGCACGCUUAGGCGUGUGACUGCGUACCUUUUGUAUAAUGGGUCAGCGACUUAUAUUCUGUAGCAAGGUUAACCGAAUAGGGGAGCCGAAGGGAAACCGAGUCUUAACUGGGCGUUAAGUUGCAGGGUAUAGACCCGAAACCCGGUGAUCUAGCCAUGGGCAGGUUGAAGGUUGGGUAACACUAACUGGAGGACCGAACCGACUAAUGUUGAAAAAUUAGCGGAUGACUUGUGGCUGGGGGUGAAAGGCCAAUCAAACCGGGAGAUAGCUGGUUCUCCCCGAAAGCUAUUUAGGUAGCGCCUCGUGAAUUCAUCUCCGGGGGUAGAGCACUGUUUCGGCAAGGGGGUCAUCCCGACUUACCAACCCGAUGCAAACUGCGAAUACCGGAGAAUGUUAUCACGGGAGACACACGGCGGGUGCUAACGUCCGUCGUGAAGAGGGAAACAACCCAGACCGCCAGCUAAGGUCCCAAAGUCAUGGUUAAGUGGGAAACGAUGUGGGAAGGCCCAGACAGCCAGGAUGUUGGCUUAGAAGCAGCCAUCAUUUAAAGAAAGCGUAAUAGCUCACUGGUCGAGUCGGCCUGCGCGGAAGAUGUAACGGGGCUAAACCAUGCACCGAAGCUGCGGCAGCGACGCUGAUGCGUUGUUGGGUA
RNAcentral lists this ribosomal RNA (657 nucleotides) under Escherichia coli. Its description in RNAcentral is "partial 23S ribosomal RNA". It matches the Rfam family "Bacterial large subunit ribosomal RNA", at positions 573 to 1230 of the family's 2925-position model. The record is from RNAcentral. Lineage: Bacteria; Pseudomonadati; Pseudomonadota; Gammaproteobacteria; Enterobacterales; Enterobacteriaceae.